RNAcentral lists this transfer RNA (78 nucleotides) under Pirellulaceae bacterium. RNAcentral describes it as "tRNA-Asp". The record is from RNAcentral. Lineage: Bacteria; Pseudomonadati; Planctomycetota; Planctomycetia; Pirellulales; Pirellulaceae.
UCUUCCAUGGCCACCGGGCUCGCACCAAAGGACCCGCCUGUCACGCGGGUGACCCGGGUUCGAUUCCCGGCGGGAGAG